This 483-nucleotide long non-coding RNA is filed under the name Equus asinus (donkey). Its description in RNAcentral is "lncRNA (ENSEASG00005035457.1)". Lineage: Eukaryota; Metazoa; Chordata; Mammalia; Perissodactyla; Equidae. The record is from RNAcentral.
CCAGGAUUGGAGGGAUGAGGUCCCUGGAAGGGGAUGAGAUCCUUGUCUCAGGAUGCAUUCAAGGCACAGAGGAUGGAGGAACCUCUCAUCAGGGGUGUUGGAGAGGUGGUCCCUCUAAGACGUCAUAGUGGACACUACCCAUUACUCAUUGCCAGGCCCUCUGACCCUUGAUUCCCCUCCACCAUAGGGAAGAGACGAAGCCAGAUGGUACCCUGGAGGCACUCGUGCUUUGCUUUGCACUGAAUGCAGCACCCCGUCACCAAAUCUCCUGACCCCGCCCUACCUCCCUUUUCAUGCCCACCUACCCAUCUUUGGCCUCCCCCUCAUCCCUGAUCUUCAGCGCCUCCCUGUCUCUUCGCGGUGCCCGGCGGCCUCAUUGAGCUAGAUCCCUGGCGCCUCUGUCACGCCACAGUCACCUCACCUCUCUGGGCCCCAGCGUGUGACAAGAGAGGCUGGUCAGAUUGUCACGCCUGCUCCAGCGUU